RNAcentral lists this ribosomal RNA (254 nucleotides) under uncultured bacterium. RNAcentral's name for it is "partial 16S ribosomal RNA". It matches the Rfam family "Bacterial small subunit ribosomal RNA", at positions 524 to 777 of the family's 1533-position model. The record is from RNAcentral.
UACAGAGGGUGCAAGCGUUGUUCGGAAUUAUUGGGCGUAAAGCGCGUGUAGGCGGCUUUGCAAGUCGGGUGUGAAAGCCCUCAGCUCAACUGAGGAAGUGCGCCCGAAACUGCAGAGCUUGAGUACCGGAGAGGAUGGUGGAAUUCCCCAAGUAGAGGUGAAAUUCGUAGAUAUGGGGAGGAACACCAGUGGCGAAGGCGGCGAUCUGGGAAGAUACUGACGCUGAGGUGCGAAAGCGUGGGGAGCAAACAGGG